Molecule: non-coding RNA, 29 nt
Filed under: Mus musculus (house mouse)
Lineage: Eukaryota; Metazoa; Chordata; Mammalia; Rodentia; Muridae
Source: RNAcentral
UGUUAUGCAACUGAGCAGAGAUGGCUUGU